This 496-nucleotide ribosomal RNA is filed under the name uncultured bacterium. Its description in RNAcentral is "bacterial SSU rRNA". It matches the Rfam family "Bacterial small subunit ribosomal RNA", at positions 8 to 507 of the family's 1533-position model. The record is from RNAcentral.
AGAGUUUGUAGUCCUGGCUCAGGACGAACGCUGGCGGCGUGCUUAACACAUGCAAGUCGAGCGGAAAGGCUCCUUCGGGGGUACUCGAGCGGCGAACGGGUGAGUAACACGUGAGUAAUCUGCCCUUGGCUUUGGGAUAACUACCGGAAACGGUGGCUAAUACCGGAUACGACCACUCCUUGCAGGAGGUGGUGGUGGAAAGUUUUUUCGGCCAGGGAUGUGCUCGCGGCCUAUCAGCUUGUUGGUGGGGUAAUGGCCUACCAAGGCUUCGACGGGUAGCCGGCCUGAGAGGGUGACCGGCCACACUGGGACUGAGACACGGCCCAGACUCCUACGGGAGGCAGCAGUGGGGAAUAUUGGACAAUGGGCGGAAGCCUGAUCCAGCAACGCCGCGUGAGGGAUGACGGCCUUCGGGUUGUAAACCUCUUUCAGUACCGACGAAGCGCCGAUGAUGGUGGUGACGGUAGGUACAGAAGAAGCACCGGCCAACUACGUG